GACGAACGCUGGCGGCGUGCUUAACACAUGCAAGUCGAACGGAAAGGCCCUGCUUUUGUGGGGUGCUCGAGUGGCGAACGGGUGAGUAACACGUGAGUAACCUGCCCUUGACUUUGGGAAAACUUCAGGAAACUGGGGCUAAUACCGGAUAGGAGCUCCUGCUGCAUGGUGGGGGUUGGAAAGUUUCGGCGGUUGGGGAUGGACUCGCGGCUUAUCAGCUUGUUGGUGGGGUAGUGGCUUACCAAGGCUUUGACGGGUAGCCGGCCUGAGAGGGUGACCGGCCACAUUGGGACUGAGAUACGGCCCAGACUCCUACGGGAGGCAGCAGUGGGGAAUAUUGCACAAUGGGCGGAAGCCUGAUGCAGCAACGCCGCGUGCGGGAUGACGGCCUUCGGGUUGUAAACCGCUUUCGCCUGUGACGAAGCGUGAGUGACGGUAAUGGGUAAAGAAGCACCGGCUAACUACGUGCCAGCAGCCGCGGUGAUACGUAGGGUGCGAGCGUUGUCCGGAUUUAUUGGGCGUAAAGGGCUCGUAGGUGGUUGAUCGCGUCGGAAGUGUAAUCUUGGGGCUUAACCCUGAGCGUGCUUUCGAUACGGGUUGACUUGAGGAAGGUAGGGGAGAAUGGAAUUCCUGGUGGAGCGGUGGAAUGCGCAGAUAUCAGGAGGAACACCAGUGGCGAAGGCGGUUCUCUGGGCCUUUCCUGACGCUGAGGAGCGAAAGCGUGGGGAGCGAACAGGCUUAGAUACCCUGGUAGUCCACGCUGUAAACGGUGGGUACUAGGUGUGGGGUCCAUUCCACGGGUUCCGUGCCGUAGCUAACGCUUUAAGUACCCCGCCUGGGGAGUACGGCCGCAAGGCUAAAACUCAAAGGAAUUGACGGGGCCCCGCACAAGCGGCGGAGCAUGCGGAUUAAUUCGAUGCAACGCGUAGAACCUUACCUGGGUUUGACAUGGAUCGGGAGUGCUCAGAGAUGGGUGUGCCUCUUUUGGGGUCGGUUCACAGGUGGUGCAUGCCUGUCGUCAGCUCGUGUCGUGAGAUGUUGGGUUAAGUCCCGCAACGAGCGCAACCCUUGUUCACUGUUGCCAGCACGUUAUGGUGGGGACUCAGUGGAGACCGCCGGGGUCAACUCGGAGGAAGGUGGGGAUGACGUCAAGUCAUCAUGCCCCUUAUGUCCAGGGCUUCACGCAUGCUACAAUGGCUGGUACAGAGAGUGGCGAGCCUGUGAGGGUGAGCGAAUCUCGGAAAGCCGGUCUCAGUUCGGAUUGGGGUCUGCAACUCGACCUCAUGAAGUCGGAGUCGCUAGUAAUCGCAGAUCAGCAACGCUGCGGUGAAUACGUUCCCGGGGCU
This 1346-nucleotide ribosomal RNA is filed under the name uncultured bacterium. RNAcentral's name for it is "partial 16S ribosomal RNA". It matches the Rfam family "Bacterial small subunit ribosomal RNA", at positions 28 to 1381 of the family's 1533-position model. The record is from RNAcentral.